UGUGAGGGGGAGUGUAUGCGUGAGGGGGAGUUGAGUGUGAGUGUGGAAGGGUGAGUGUGCGAGGGUGUGAGUGUGAGUCUCAGUGAGUGAUGGUGUGAGUGUGAGCGUGGGUGUGAGAGUGUGUGUGAGGGGGAGUUCAGUGUGAGUGUGCAAGGGUGUGAGUGAGUGUGACUGUGUGUGUGAGUCUCAGUGAGUGAUGGUGUGUGUCAGUGUGAGUGUGUGUGAGUGUGAGUGUGUGUGUGUGAGGGUGUGAGUAUGGGGGUGUGAGUGUGUGUGUGUGCCUGAGGGUGUGAGUGUGUGUGUGUGUGUGAGUGUGAGUCUCAGUGUGUGAUGGUGUGAGUGUGUCAGUGUGUGUGAGUGUGUGAUGGUGUGAAUGUGUGUGAGUGUGAGUGUGUGACUGAGGGUGUAAAUUGUGUGUGACACUGCGAGUGUGUGUGUGUGAGUGUGUGUGAGUGUGAGAGUGUGCUGGUGUGAAUGUGUGUGUGUGUGUGAUGGUGAGUGUGAGUGUGUGCCUGAGGGUGUGAGUGUGUGUGUGUGUCUCAGUGUGUGAUGGUGUGAGUGUGUCAGUGUGUGUGAGUGAGUGUGUGUGUGUGAGUGUGACACUGCGAGUGUGUGAGUGUGAGUGUGAGUGUGGACUGAGGGUGUGUGUGUGAGUGUGACACUAAGAGUGUGUGAGUGUGUGUGUGUGUGUGUGACACUGUGUGAGUGUGAGUGUGUGUGUGAUGUCAGUGUGUGAUGGUGUGAGUGUGUGAGUGUGAGUGUGUGAGUGUGUCAUAUGUGAGUGUGAGUGUGAUGGUGUGUAUGUGUGUGAGUGUGAGUGUGUGUGUGAGUGUGACACUGCGAGUGUGU
This 849-nucleotide long non-coding RNA is filed under the name Gallus gallus (chicken). Its description in RNAcentral is "lncRNA (ENSGALG00010000480.1)". The record is from RNAcentral. Lineage: Eukaryota; Metazoa; Chordata; Aves; Galliformes; Phasianidae.